RNAcentral lists this ribosomal RNA (253 nucleotides) under uncultured bacterium. RNAcentral's name for it is "partial 16S ribosomal RNA". It matches the Rfam family "Bacterial small subunit ribosomal RNA", at positions 524 to 776 of the family's 1533-position model. The record is from RNAcentral.
UACGUAGGUGGCAAGCGUUGUCCGGAAUUAUUGGGCGUAAAGCGCGCGCAGGUGGUUUCUUAAGUCUGAUGUGAAAGCCCACGGCUCAACCGUGGAGGGUUAUUGGAAACUGGGGAACUUGAGUGCAGGAGAGAAGAGUGGAAUUCCACGUGUAGCGGUGAAAUGCGUAGAGAUGUGGAGGAACACCAGUGGCGAAGGCGACUCUUUGGCCUGUAACUGACACUGAGGCGCGAAAGCGUGGGGAGCAAACAGG